RNAcentral lists this ribosomal RNA (498 nucleotides) under uncultured bacterium. RNAcentral describes it as "partial 16S ribosomal RNA". It matches the Rfam family "Bacterial small subunit ribosomal RNA", at positions 28 to 507 of the family's 1533-position model. The record is from RNAcentral.
GACGAACGCUGGCGGCGUGCCUAAUACAUGCAAGUCGAACGAGAGCGCCCGGUGCUUGCACUGGUCAAUCUAGUGGCGAACGGGUGAGUAGCACGUGGGUAACCUGCCCAUCAGAGGGGGAUAACAUCCGGAAACGGGUGCUAAAACCGCAUAGGUCUUCGAACCGCAUGGUUUGAAGAGGAAAAGAGGCGCAAGCUUCUGCUGAUGGAUGGACCCGCGGUGCAUUAGCUAGUUGGUGAGGUAACGGCUCACCAAGGCCGUGAUGCAUAGCCGACCUGAGAGGGUGAUCGGCCACAUUGGGACUGAGACACGGCCCAAACUCCUACGGGAGGCAGCAGUAGGGAAUCUUCCGCAAUGGACGCAAGUCUGACGGAGCAACGCCGCGUGAGUGAAGAAGGUUUUCGGAUCGUAAAACUCUGUUGUUAGAGAAGAACAAGUGCUAGAGUAACUGUUAGCGCCUUGACGGUAGCUAACCAGAAAGCCACGGCUAACUACGUG